AAUCAUCAACUCUCUUGGUCUUUAUUGACUUUUAGAGAGCUUGGACUUGGAGGGUUUUUGCUGGUUUCUGUACUUUUUUGAAGUAUAAAAUCAGCUCCUCUUGAAUGCAUUAGCUUGAACCUAUGCUGUGAUCGGCUGUUUGGUGUGAUAAUUGUCUACGCCACAGUUGUGAAAGCUAUAAAUAUAUAGGGUCAGCUUCGAACCGUCCUUUACAAAUGGGACAACAUCUUUAUUGAC
Molecule: unclassified non-coding RNA, 237 nt
Filed under: uncultured Postia
Lineage: Eukaryota; Fungi; Basidiomycota; Agaricomycetes; Polyporales; Polyporaceae
Description: sequence contains ITS2
Source: RNAcentral